GUGCAAAAGCAACAAUAAACGUAUGGGAACCAUCAAUCGAAGUAGUGAACGAGUUUAGUCUAUCUCAAAUUUGGGUUCUAUCUGGAUCUUUUGACGGGUCGGAUCUUAAUAGCAUCGAAGCUGGCUGGCAGGUUAGUCCGGAGCUAUAUGGUGACAGCAGACCUAGAUUAUUUACAUAUUGGACGAGUGAUUCCUAUCAAGCAACAGGAUGUUACAACUUGUUAUGUUCAGGAUUUGUCCAAACAAAUAGCAGAAUAGCCAUUGGUGCUGCCAUUUCUCCUGUUUCUUCUGUUGAGGGAAGUCAAUAUGAUGUUACUAU
RNAcentral lists this unclassified non-coding RNA (319 nucleotides) under Hevea brasiliensis (rubber tree). Lineage: Eukaryota; Viridiplantae; Streptophyta; Magnoliopsida; Malpighiales; Euphorbiaceae. The record is from RNAcentral.